This 1566-nucleotide ribosomal RNA is filed under the name metagenome. RNAcentral describes it as "bacterial LSU rRNA". It matches the Rfam family "Bacterial large subunit ribosomal RNA", at positions 1392 to 2925 of the family's 2925-position model. The record is from RNAcentral.
UUAAGAGUCCUUAAGUCCUCUGAUGUCCUUCGGGACUAGGGGUGAGGCUGAACGCUCGAUCCGAUCGGGUAGUAGGUAAGCGAUGGGGUGACGCAGGAAGGUAGUCCAGCCCAGGCGAUGGUUGUCCUGGGGUAAGCAUGUAGGGCGGAACGUAGGUAAAUCCGCGUUCUAUUCAGCCUGAGAUGUGAUGCCGAGCCGAUUGUGGUGAAGUGGAUGAUCCUAUGCUGCCGAGAAAAGCCCCUAGUGAGUGUUGUGGCGGCCCGUACCCUAAACCGACUCAGGUGGUCAGGUAGAGAAUACCAAGGCGAUCGGGUGAACUGUGGUUAAGGAACUCGGCAAAUUGCCCCCGUAACUUCGGGAGAAGGGGGACCUCUGCUGGUGAUGGGCUUUACGUUCUGAGCUGGUGGGGGUCGCAGUGGCCAGGGGGAAGCGACUGUGUACUAAAAACACAGGCCCGUGCGAAGUCGUAAGACGAUGUAUACGGACUGACGCCUGCCCGGUGCCGGAACGUUAAGGGGACCGCUUAGCCAACGCGAGUUGGCGAAGGUGAGAACUUAAGCGCCGGUAAACGGCGGUGGUAACUAUAACCAUCCUAAGGUAGCGAAAUUCCUUGUCGGGUAAGUUCCGACCUGCACGAAUGGCGUAACGACUUCCCCUCUGUCUCAACCACAGACCCGGCGAAAUUGCACUACGAGUAAAGAUGCUCGUUUCGCGCAGCAGGACGGAAAGACCCCGGGACCUUCACUACAGCUUGACAUUGGCGUUUGGAACGUCUUGUGUAGGAUAGGUGGGAGACUGGGAAGCUGUCACGCUAGUGAUGGUGGAGUCAUUGGUGAAAUACCACUCUGGUCGUUUUGAACGUCUAACUCUGGUCCGUGAUCCGGAUCGGGGACAGUGUCUGGUGGGUAGUUUAACUGGGGCGGUUGCCUCCUAAAGAGUAACGGAGGCGCCCAAAGGUUCCCUCAGCCUGGUUGGCAAUCAGGUGUUGAGUAUAAGUGCACAAGGGAGCUUGACUGUGAGACUGACAGGUCGAGCAGGAGCGAAAGCUGGGACUAGUGAUCCGGCAUCGGCGUGUGGAAGCGGUGUCGCUCAACGGCUAAAAGGUACCCCGGGGAUAACAGGCUGAUCUUCCCCAAGAGUCCAUAUCGACGGGAUGGUUUGGCACCUCGAUGUCGGCUCGUCGCAUCCUGGGGCUGGAGUAGGUCCCAAGGGUUGGGCUGUUCGCCCAUUAAAGCGGUACGCGAGCUGGGUUUAGAACGUCGCGAGACAGUUCGGUCCCUAUCCGCUGCGCGCGCAGGAGACUUGAAGGGGGCUGUCCCUAGUACGAGAGGACCGGGACGGACGAACCUCUGGUGUGCCAGUUGUACCGCCAGGUGCACGGCUGGUUGGCUACGUUCGGAAGGGAUACCCGCUGAAAGCAUCUAAGCGGGAAGCUCGCCUUGAGAUGAGGUCUCCCACCCCGUGAGGGGGUAAGGCUCCCGGUAGAUCACCGGGUUGAUAGGCCGGAGGUGGAAGCACGGUAACGUGUGGAGCUGACCGGUACUAAUAGGCCGAGGACUUGACCAC